AAACAUUAUUAAGAAGAUAACAAUGAAAUACAGAAUAUUGGGACUUUUCGACACAAAAUCUAAACAGCACGAUUGCGCUGCUUGGGACUCAAACGGUUAAAUAUUUUCAACGGAAGAAACAACUCUAAAUCGUUGAACUGUUCGAUCCUGGCUAAGAGAUUGAAGCUCCUUGUCUCUCGCUGCGUUUUAAGUUGUACGAAACGCAUAAAUUUUAGCAUGGCCGAUUUUAUAUCUCCUCCGUCGACGACACUAAUUAAAAAAAAAUCUAAUUUUCUAAACUUUCGUAUAUCUCUUUUACAAAUGAUAAUAAUUUUCCAAAUUUUCAUCCUAUCUAGUACGACCUGGCAAAAGCGCCCACAUUCGCCAAUACAAGUCUUGGACUUCCGCACAGUAAAAUCGGUCACGGCGGUCCAUUGGAAGCAGGCAGCAGGGAAGACAAGGCGCGUUUAAAAUGCGUCCGACAUCGGUAGCUGGCGGCGUUAUCGGAAUUAAGUAACCGAUGAUUCACGUUCCGCCAUGAAAUACAAACAAUGGUAUCGGAAUAACGACACGUCCCGCCUCUCUCAUCGCUCGGCUAUCUUGACCAACUUAUUUGCAUACCGGGCGGACCGACCGGUCGGCAGCCACCGCGAGAGCUGAAUUUACACUUGAGAAGCCGCUCGAAUUAUCGUUUGACAAAUUUCUUAGAAAAUUGUCUCGUACACCGGGUCAGCCGGCCACUCGUGAUGCUAAUUUAUGUGUGGCGGAAGCAUCAUUAUGCGUGCCACGUAUAUAUACCUGCUACCCGUAUAUAUGUGUAUAUGUGCAUACAGGGUGUCCCAGAGUUUAACAAAUUUAGUAAAUUCUAAGGUUAUAAGGCCAAUUUUAAGGUCAUAAUUAUAAAAUGUUAUAUGUGUAAAAAUAUAGUGGCUUGUGUUAGUAUUUGAACAUCUUUUUUUUUAAUACGUCUUACGUUUGCAAUAAAUAUUUUGUAAUUUCUAUGUAAGUUUCCAGAUUGGUUUGAAAUUUGUCCAACAUAACCGUGACAAUUGUCUCGUCACUAUUCGUGAAAUUUCGAAAUGUUUUUAUAAUAUAUUAUAUAAUAUAGGGUGAUCCAGAGUUUGGCAGCUAAAUUUUGUUACAACUUUGCGUGAGCAUUUCUAUAGUAAUACACAAUACAGUAAUAAAUUCAACUUUUCUUGUGAAUUAUAUAUUAACAGCCAAAGAUUACGCUGAUUAUAAAUCUAUUCUUGUCUUAUAGCAUGAUAAUCCUGAUGAGUCCGUCAUCGUUCCUUUUGCAUUUCCUAUUUUUAUUACAACUUUUCGAUAAAGCUUCGAAUAAGCUACGUUUAUAAAAUACUUUUUGCCGGAUUACACUCAUAGAAUACAUCUACCGAAUUUUAAAUCCUGGUACACCGUGUAUGUGUCUAUAUAUGACAACAUACUGGCGUGACGCAUAUUCUCGAAAGACGGGGUCUAGUAAGCUCUCGAGCAUAAUUCAACGGGUGAAUGUUGACUAUAUCCAUGGAAAUGCGGCUUUUCAGCGUUUCACAGCCACUUGGACAGGGAAAAUUGGAAAUUUAAGAUGACCUACUACCUAAAUGACAAACCAAUUAUCUCCUAUAAGCUUAAUCCUUUCAAAGUCUCAAUUAGCGUGGUAUUCAGAUAUUUCCUUCUUUUUUUUCUUGUAGAAAUUUAUUCGCUCGUGGUAUGCAUUUACCAUUAAUUUGGAUUAUUCAUCGUGUUUACAGGAAGCCCUAGCUGACCUACCUCAUGCAGCUGGAACCUAUUUUCCUCGAACGAGAAAACUCGGUGAACAAUACAGUCGGAGGCAAAAAUAAGUUAAAUAGGUGGUGGAAAUAAGGUAUCGACGACGUUUCGUUAAAUACGGUCUGUUUACACAGAUGUAAACGAGACGUACGUACCACAGCAUAUACAGUAGCGGGUAAAAGGAAAUUUAAACGUAAGUAGUACAAUAGACACCACAAUUUUACAAGACAGAUUGUAUUUGAGAAGAAAAGCGACUAAAUAUAAUAUGAAACUCUAGAACAGUCAACAACAUGCUGUAAAAUAGACAGAAAAGUCAUUAAUAUACUCGUAUACACAAAAUUACUUUCGAAUAAUUAUUUAUAAUUACUAACAGUUCUUGAAAUUAUUAACUAUUUAACGAAUUUUAAACUUCCUUUUGCCGGCUGCUUUGUAAUAAAUGAAACUUAAUUAUAUCAGUACAAUAUAACGUUAGGACUAAUUCGAUGAAACUUCAUUGAUACCUACCUUCCGCUAUCUGUUCAAUUAUUUUUGUCUCCGACUGUAUCUCGGACACAGAAAGGACGACGGAAGAAGGCGAGCGCACCGGUUACGUUACAGGGUAAUUUAUCAGAGCACAAGAUCUUCCGGUUACUGGUAGUGGCAUGUAAUAACGAAGACGACGACGACGACGACGACGAAUACACCGCCUGGAUUGUAUUUGUGUAAUGGUUACAUCGCGGACGAAAAAUCUGUAUGGAACGCGAACGUCGGUGCGGCAAGUUGUGUGCCAGAGAAGGUAGAAGAGCAAAGAGCCGUAGAGAGUGACAAAUUUUACGAGAGACCGGG
Bombus impatiens (common eastern bumble bee) is the source of this 2574-nucleotide long non-coding RNA. RefSeq lists it as uncharacterized. The record is from RefSeq and is a predicted model, not a curated record. The transcript is spliced from 2 exons. NCBI's taxonomy places the organism in Eukaryota, Metazoa, Arthropoda, Insecta, Hymenoptera, Apidae.